CUUCUAUCCAUUCCAUCCAUUCAAAUUCAAUCCCAUUCCAUCACUACUUUCUUCGCCCCCACUGCUGCCUACUCCUUCCAAUUUCAGCUCCGCUGUCACCGCCUCCUCCUUUUAGAGCCGGACUUCUCAUUUUCCAUUGCUACUCAGCUCACCUGCUCCCGUCUGGUCCUGUUUGUUCGAUUUGAGCGUCAACGGUUACGGUAGCAGCAAAAGUAGAUGCGUUCCUGACCGCCUGAUGUCGGUGAUUCUUCGGCUGCAGUAGAAGAACUGAAGAAACAGGGUUUUUUGAGAUCCUUAUUAGCAAUUGGCAGAGCUUGGAUAUGCUGAAGCUAGUCCGUGUAGCCUUGGCGUAACAAUUUUUUUUUUACUUUUUGAGAUAUAUUUUGUUUUAUAAAAUUGGUUGAUGUCGUGUCUGAAUUUUGAGGGGGUGAUGCUAAAAUAAGAAUUGAACUUCUUUAAAUAGCUUAUCUUGCUGAUUCAAUAGCAGAUUUUCCAAGAAUUGUUAAAUAUAAUUUCAGUGACCCUUAAGUUGUUGGAUUAUGUAUUUUCACUAAGUUAUCGUCUUGCUGAUUUCCACGGUUCCUUUUUCAUUAUGUGUAUUUGAUGGAUGGAGAGAACAUGCUUGGUUCAGCAAGUGUAUUAGUUUGAGUUCUUAUUCCUGUUAGGGUUCUCACAUAAAAAAGAAAGGAAGAAUUGACAUCAAAUAAGUAGUAACUGCUGCAGAGAAAGCUUACCAAGAAAAAGCACUAGUAGGUGUAAUCAGAUCUCAUGUGUUCUCAAAAUCAAUAGGAGAUGCUUAAGCUGCUAGUUACUGAUAUGAAGCCACUUUCUGUUCGGGACAUGUGUCCACAAUGGAGCCACUUUCCAGGUAAUGUAGUCUUAGUUUGCUCUAUAUGAUUUUAAUGUAUCCAUGAUAUCUUACUAAUACCUUUUCUAACUCAUAGAUGUGGUUUAGGAUCGGAAAAUUGAUGUAGUGAGUUGUUAGGAUCUUCCUCUAGCUGCUCAAGGUGAUUUUCAGGCUCAGUUAACCUUUAAACAUCGAAUCAACACCAAGAAACCGAAAGGGACCAACCACUGGCAUGCUUUCUUCCUAUGGUUGCUAUUGCUCCUUUUGCUUGUUGUUUCCUCACUCACUUAGGAUGAAUACCACACAGGUAAGGGUCACAAAGACUCAAGCAAGAGGUAGAGAAGAUCAAUCAAUAGGAUGCACGAAGAAGAAGAAGGGACUGCCUCUCUCUCGGGUUCUAUCAAAACGGGACUCAUAGGAAGAAAGAGAGUUACCAAUAUAUAUAAUAGUCCAAUGACAAACUUAAGCUUUGUUGGCCGUCGUGAAUUGUGUGGCUAGCAAAUCGAAGAGUGCAUGAAGGACAAUAUGAUUGAGUAUGCCGUCCGAGUAUUAUCCGGAAGCUGGUAUUGCAAGCGUGGCAAUAAGCUCUUCAUGCCUAAGCUGUAUCAAAAUUUUAUUCCUAGUUUUGUUUCACUUUGAAGCUCCUUUGUAUUUAGGUGGUGUUGUAUCACAUUCUAAUGUUCAAGUGUAUGGAUUCAAAAAUUUGUAAUGAAAUUAUCAAUUUUUAUGCAA
This is a long non-coding RNA of Olea europaea var. sylvestris, 1579 nucleotides long. RefSeq lists it as uncharacterized. The transcript has 3 exons. The record is from RefSeq and is a predicted model, not a curated record. NCBI's taxonomy places the organism in Eukaryota, Viridiplantae, Streptophyta, Magnoliopsida, Lamiales, Oleaceae.